UCUUGUGCUGCUAGGCUUAUUUCCAGUUCCUUUAGGAGGAGACUCCCCUUGAUUUUUUUUUUAUAGCUACAGCUGCCCUUGGCCUAUGACCUCAUGAGGAAGCUGGCUGAUUCCUUUGGCCUAUUUUCAGCUGUUUGGAUUAUUUGAUUCAAGAUGCUUCUUUGUACUUGCUCAAGCAAAGCACUUGCUGCCUGGCAUGAAAGCUACUACAUACUGUUUGCCCAUCUAGCUAAAGAUUGCCUACCAGCCACCUGCCUCUGAGUUCUUUCUCUUCCUGGGGCUGCACAGUGCCCAGGUUUGCCUGGCUGUCAUUGAAACUCUCAGCCCAGGGUGGUAGAAACAAUAUUAUACCCAGCCAACUCAGUUCAGAUCCAGAAGCCAAAGCUGGGAUGUUGAGUCACAAGUGAGGCGCAUGCGAAUUAGGUAUAUGUGACCUGAGAGUAGGAUGAGCUGGUUUUAGUUCAUUUUAUAGACAGGAAGGUGGGCUCAGAGUUUAAGUGACUGGCCUGAACUCACACAGCUAGUUCAUUGAAAAGCCAGGAUUGGAAAUGAGCUCAGUGUCUCUUUCUGCUGUGUUCUCCACCUGUCCAAACUUGAGGCCUUACUGGCCUUGACCCUGUCCCGUGUCUCAGGAGAUGAGCUGACUUGGAGCUGAGCUGUGAGGCUGGCAUAGUCCUUGCAACAGGAGGGAUGGUGCAUCCACCCCUCUUCCAGCCCUGUGCUCAUCGAUUGUUGACCGCGCUUCUCUCAGAAGCUGUCCCAGAAGUGCCAUUAGCAUCCGAGAGCCAAGGUGGAAGCAGGUACCUCUGGGGAAGGGGAGGUGGCCUGGGGUGGAGCCACAGCCUUGGGAGUAGCCCUAGCUUGCCCUGCCCGGCCCACACCGCCAGUCUGGCUUCAGGUAGGAAUAAGCCCAGAAAGGGGUGGGUCCAGGCAGUCGACUGUUUUCUCCAUUUGCCUACAAAAUGCUGAGUGUUGUCCUCUGAGCCUUGGUGAGCGCUGGUGACGCAGCUUUUCUGAAAAGCACAUUCUGUUGAUGGCUCCAGAAUUGUCUUCUAAGCUGCAGAUACCCAUUCUGUGAGAUCUGAUGCUGGGCUCUGCUGACCUUACCCUGACGGCCCUAUCGCAGCUGCCACCUACCGGCCGUCAUUGUGAGACGCAGGAGUUCACACCUGAGAGGAUGUGGGUGUCUUAGAAGCUCCGCAGUACUUGGAAGGAGGCAGUGCUGUGCUUGGAUGCUUGUCAGACUUCGAAUAGAUUAUGUUGCUUUACUUCUUGAAUGAAGCUUCAUGACAUCCAGUCAGUAGGGAGGAAGUCCAUUAUUGGGCUUUGUUGAAAAAAUAAAGACCUCAGUGUUGUAAUGAAUCAAACAUGAAUUUCUAGUCUUGGUAAGGGUUGAGGGACAUGGUCACACUUUUUGUAUGUUAUACACACGUACAGUAAUUACAGUUAACAUUGUCUUUGGAAACUGACCUCAUGCCAAUAUACCCUUAUUGAUAGUUUCCUAUGAGAUUUCUGACCAUCGUAUGAACGCUUCACAUGAUUUGCUAGAUUCCCAAACGGUACGAGGCUACACAAGGAAGGGGACUGCCCUGCCUGGCUGGUCCUGACAGCUGGCACAGGAAAUGGCAUUCUAGCAAACGCUCAGAAUUCGGUGUUGUGACGUCGCAGAAUGACUAGGAACCGUUUGUGUACAGGAACUCACCUUGGGUCUCAGUCACAGGCUUCACUCACUCUUGCUUGGGACUUGUGGGAGGAGGGAAUCCACUUUCUAGAUUCGAGCCAAUGGCCUGUUCUGGCUUGGUUUAUUUUUUAGGGGGGGGUCAGGAUGGGACAGGAAGUGGUGCUCCCUUGACAACUUUGAGCUCUCCUCUUCCCCAGUGUUGUUCUGGCAACAUUGGCAUCCAGGGCCACGGGUCAGUCACAGGCAGAGCCGCAGGGAUGGCUGGCUGUGAAAACAAGUUACAAUUUGGUCUUCUGGCUCCACUUCAUUUUAGCUUAAGUUUUCAGGGAUGGGAAACUUGGUGACAGAAAGGAAGUGUGACAGGGUUCUAGAGUCUUUCUGAUGUCAGAAUUAUACCCUCGGGUGGGUCAGACUAGGAACACUAGUUGUGUUACCCCUACCCAAGCAAUUUAAAGUAAUCCCCUGGAGUGUAUGCAUUAAAAAGGAAGCACCCUGAUGUGGCAAGGGCAGGCAGGGCAUUCAUUAGCAUGAAAGCUCCACGUUAAAACCCCCAUCUCACUGCAUGUGAACUUUAUCUUAGCAAAAUGUUAAGGCUUUCCCAAUCUGGCCUGGAUUCCUUCUCACGACGAACCGCUCUUGCUGGGUGGAAUCCAGCCAGCUUGAGGCUGACACAUAGCUUGGCUCCCACGAACUGUCUUCCUUGUGCUUUGAAUGCCCAGCAGAGGCUUUAUGAGCUCCCUUCCUUUAGACUGCGAAACAGUGGUUUGGCAAAGAGUGAGCUUCCUUCUAGUUGGCAUUUCUGGAGUCGGGAACUGAAAUCGGUCCAUGCAGAUGGUGUGCUUCUCCUUAUGGGCCGGGUAGCUGGAAACCAGUGACUUUAACACCAGUUAAACCAGCCAAGUGGGGAAGCAUUCUUCCUUUUUGAAAAAUACCAGCCUCUGAAUUCCACAAACACCUGGACUGAGAUCCUGAAUUUAAGGAUGAGAACACAUCAUGAAACAUGGUAACAGCAACUCACCCUUUUCCCCCUUGGUAGUGACAUGGGAGAAAUGGAGUAAUUUUGCCCAUGUUUUUACAUUCCCACCACUGCCAAGAAGCCUGGAUAUAUACCUUAUACCACCAGAAUCAGCCUCAGAAUAUUAUGGCGUAACUAAAAAAUCCAGCAUUUUCUCUGUGGUUUUGUGCUCCCUUAGUUACUGCUCAGGCCCAUCCUAAUUGGCCCACACUCAUGAGGCUGCCCUUGGGUCUUAUCACUGAAUCCUCCCAAAAUCAUUUUCAGUGUGUAUACUGCCUGGAAUUGCAGUCUGAAACGUCUCAGAUCUCUUAAAAUACUCAUCCAGUAAACAGCAACUGAACCCCCCUGCAAGGCUGCACCUGCAGCCCCCAAAGGCCCCCUUUUCUAUUAACAGUCGGGUCUCCAGCCCCCGUGGCCCUUUCCUUCCCAGUGCAUCUUCACACAGAGAGGCCGCUGGUGAGAUAAGACUUGUAGCCAAGACUGCCCGGAGAAUUAGCCUGUCAUCUGAUGCUUUUUGGGGAGUGCAGGGCCCUCAGAAAAAGUGGGCCUGGCAGUCAGCAUUUUAAGUCUGUGUAACUCCCAACCUCCCAUCGGAUCAUAGAGGGGAAAUGAGAACAGAAGGUGAGAAAACAUUCCACGUUCACGUUUAUUCUUGUUUAUUGAGGUCUGUUUAUUCUUAACGGGUGCUUUUUCCUCCAAGUAAAUAGAGCAGGCGUAAAUAUCUAUAAUGAAUAAAUUUAUUGUCUUACAAAAAUCAUUGUCUAGAAAUAUGGGAAUACAAGAAAAGAUAUUUGCAGUCAGGUGUCUGGUGGUCAACAGCCAGUACAAUUCAUAAAGGGGUAAAAUCAAAGAUUCCAAACCCACAUGAUAAAUUCUUCCUAAUGAUGUUAAAGCUUUUAACCCAAAAGGUUUGUGUUUUCAAGCACGUUGCAGAGGAUCAGGGAUUUAUAUUUAACACUGAUUCAUUGUCACCGAAUGUUUAUAAUACCACUUUGACUAGAGAGGUACAUGAUAUGAA
Molecule: long non-coding RNA, 3714 nt
Organism: Phyllostomus discolor (pale spear-nosed bat)
Lineage: Eukaryota; Metazoa; Chordata; Mammalia; Chiroptera; Phyllostomidae
Exons: 2
Source: RefSeq, a predicted model, not a curated record